This 501-nucleotide ribosomal RNA is filed under the name uncultured bacterium. RNAcentral's name for it is "partial 16S ribosomal RNA". It matches the Rfam family "Bacterial small subunit ribosomal RNA", at positions 30 to 523 of the family's 1533-position model. The record is from RNAcentral.
AUUGAACGCUGGCGGCAGGCUUAACACAUGCAAGUCGAGCGGGGGAAGGUAGCUUGCUACUGGACCUAGCGGCGGACGGGUGAGUAAUGCUUAGGAAUCUGCCUAUUAGUGGGGGACAACAUCUCGAAAGGGAUGCUAAUACCGCAUACGUCCUACGGGAGAAAGCAGGGGAUCUUCGGACCUUGCGCUAAUAGAUGAGCCUAAGUCGGAUUAGCUAGUUGGUGGGGUAAAGGCCUACCAAGGCGACGAUCUGUAGCGGGUCUGAGAAGAUGAUCCGCCACACUGGGACUGAGACACGGCCCAGACUCCUACGGGAGGCAGCAGUGGGGAAUAUUGGACAAUGGGGGGAACCCUGAUCCAGCCAUGCCGCGUGUGUGAAGAAGGCCUUAUGGUUGUAAAGCACUUUAAGCGAGGAGGAGGCUACUCUAGUUAAUACCUAGGGAUAGUGGACGUUACUCGCAGAGUAAGCACCGGCUAACUCUGUGCCAGCCGCCGCGGUAA